GGGAAUGUGGCUCAGUGGUAGAGUGCCUGCCUACCAUGCAGGAAGCCCUAGGUUUGCUUCUUUAGUACCA
RNAcentral lists this transfer RNA (70 nucleotides) under Dipodomys ordii (Ord's kangaroo rat). It matches the Rfam family "tRNA". From Rfam's summary of the family: Transfer RNA (tRNA) molecules are approximately 80 nucleotides in length. Their secondary structure includes four short double-helical elements and three loops (D, anti-codon, and T loops). Lineage: Eukaryota; Metazoa; Chordata; Mammalia; Rodentia; Heteromyidae. The record is from Rfam by way of RNAcentral.